CCUACGGGUGGCAGCAGUAGGGAAUUUUCGGCAAUGGGGGGAACCCUGACCGAGCAACGCCGCGUGAAGGUAGAAGGAAUUCGUUCUGUAAACUUCUGUUAUAAAGGAAGAAAGACGGAUGGAGGAAAUGACAUCCGAGUGACGGUACUUUAUGAGAAAGCCACGGCUAACUACGUGCCAGCAGCCGCGGUUAUACGUAAGUGGCAAGCGUUAUCCGGAAUUUUUGGGCGAAAGGAGGGAGCAGGCGGCAACAAGGGUCUGUGGUGAAAGACUGAAGGUUAAGUUUAGUAAGCCAUAGAAACCGGGCAGCUAGAGUGCAGAAGAGGAGCGUGGAAUUUCAUGUGUAGCGGUGAAAUGCGUAGAUAUAUGAAGGAACACCAGUGGCGAAGGCGACGAUCUGGCCUGCAAUUGACGCUCAGUCCCGAAAGCGUGGGGAGCAAAUAGGAUUAGAUACCCCGGUAGUC
This 464-nucleotide ribosomal RNA is filed under the name uncultured bacterium. RNAcentral's name for it is "partial 16S ribosomal RNA". It matches the Rfam family "Bacterial small subunit ribosomal RNA", at positions 338 to 795 of the family's 1533-position model. The record is from RNAcentral.